RNAcentral lists this long non-coding RNA (297 nucleotides) under Cucumis sativus (cucumber). RNAcentral's name for it is "long non-coding RNA (CSAT_LNC001085)". The record is from RNAcentral. Lineage: Eukaryota; Viridiplantae; Streptophyta; Magnoliopsida; Cucurbitales; Cucurbitaceae.
AAAGCUCCAAUAAGGUAGCCAAAUAAAGUGUUCCCUUAUUGAAAAAAAAAACAGGUGGAUCUAACUGAGGAACAAUGUCAAGUACAAUGUCACUGAUAAUAUAUCAAACAAGAGGGUUGAUACAAAAGCAAGCAGAAAAAUAACACAAAAAUUGACAACCCAGUUUAGUGUAGAAUCACGUACCGUCAGGGAGAAGUUGUGUCCGAUGAAAUGAAACUUCACUAUAUAAAGAGUUUAACAACUACAACGAAAGUACUUAUCUGUUAGACUUCCUCUACGAUUACUCCCGCAUAUAGC